RNAcentral lists this unclassified non-coding RNA (1949 nucleotides) under Zea mays. RNAcentral describes it as "misc RNA Zm00001eb407040". Lineage: Eukaryota; Viridiplantae; Streptophyta; Magnoliopsida; Poales; Poaceae. The record is from RNAcentral.
GCACGCGCUCAGCUGCCUCGCCUCAGUCCUCCUCUCCGGCCGCUUGCUGUUGCUGCUCCCACCCAUCUCCUCAACCACCUGAGCUCCUCGCCCUCUCUGCCCUCUCUGGUCUUCAAUUCGUUCGAGCUGAACUCGAGGGCAACAAUUCGCUCCGAUCCAUUCCAUCCACCCCGUCGAUCCAUCCAGCGGCCCUCCUCUCCCAGUCCCAGUCCCAGAAAUGGGCAAGAACGGCCUGGUCUCCAUCUUCUCCCGGCUCGUGGACUCCGCCGCCCCCACCUCCACGUCCGCCGCCGCCACGCCGUGGCAGUGGUCGGCCUGCGGAACCAACCCGCAGACGACCUCCUUCCGCGCAGGCGCAGGCGGCGACGACGACGAGCCCUGCUGCACGGCGACGCCGCCCACGGCAGCAGCAGCAGCAGCCAGUCGAUCCGUCCACCGGAAGCCGGCUGCGAUGGGCCGCGGCGCGCCGCCCGGCGAAAUGUACAAGACGGUCAACUCGGUCUUCCUGGACGACCCCGCCGCGGACGACUUCUUCUUCUCCCUCGCCGGCGACGGCGACGACGAGGAGGAGGUGGCGGGGCUCUACCUCGACGACAACGACGACGACGACGGGUUCUCGACCACCACGGCGUCCGAGGAGUGGUCGGAGGAGGCCGUGAUCCGCAGCCUGGGCCGCACGUCCACCGACCGCUUCUUCUUCGACCCGCAGCCUGGCCCGCUGCCGGCGUCCAACUCCAUCCUCGCCACCACGGCCGCGGCCGCCGCCGAGACGCCGGCGAGGAAGAAGACGGUCCCGGUCCCAGUCCCAGUCCCAGGGCCGACAGAGGAGGAAGACGCAACGGCAACGCACGCGGACGAGGGCGACGGCGUCAAGAAGCAGCGGCAACCGACGACGGCGGCGGCGGCGGCGGCAGCGGUGUCGUCGUCUCUGGCGGAGCGCAGCGUGGCGGUGGCGGUGGACUCGGGCGACCCGUACGGCGACUUCCGGGCGUCCAUGGAGGAGAUGGUGUCGGCGCACGGGCUCCGCGACUGGGCGCAGCUGGAGGAGCUCCUGGCGUGGUACCUCCGGAUCAACGGGAAGCAGCACCACCACCUGAUCGUGGGCGCCUUCGUGGACCUGCUCCUCGGCCUGUCCACGUCCUCGCCCUCCUCCUCCUCCUCCCCUCCCUCCAGCACCGCCGCCGAGACCAGCACCACCACCACGAGCAGCACCAGCACCGGCUGCAGCUGAGCUGCAGCUGCACGGCCGCCGCCGCCGCCGCUACGACCACCAGCUGUGGCAGUGUCGCCGGCGACGCCGUCACAGCCUCCGCCGCCGCCGCCGCCUCCGGCCGACGUUCAGGUGCACGUGGUGGAGGAUGAGGAGGCAGCAUGCAAGCGCUGGCCCUGUACUGCUGGCAGCGACGACGGUGAUCGGUCGUGCCCGCAGUCCGCGCCACCACCAGUAGUGCUCCACCCACUGCGCGUGGCCUGUCGAUCGCUUGAGUAGAUGACCUGCUAAUCUCCAGACCUUUACCUCCUGGCUCCUGCAGCUGCUGAUGGUUAGUGUUCUAACGACAACAGGAUGAUUAAAUUAACUGGACGCUGUCACUAACACUCUCUCGCCAUGUAGUACAGGUGCGCGUAGCAAUAGUAGAGUUAGUAGUAGUAGGAGCAGUUGGUUGGUGCGGAUCGAAUCGAAGGAUCCAAUGCAAUGUACAAGUAACUGUACCUGUACGUGUAGUGUAGUGUAGGUAGAGGGUUUCUCUCGAGAGAGGGAGAGAAAAAAAAAUCAACGGUUUUUAUUUCCAGUACGGGUAUAAAUGUAUAAAGACCUUAAUUUCUACUCCUGCCAGCAGCUCCGGUAUUUAUGGCAAAUGAAACCGGUGGCCGCCGAACAACGACCCCUGCCAGCUGACUGAGCAUAAUUAAUCGUCGGUGUUUGCAUGCUAUCACACCUCCAAUCCCCG